RNAcentral lists this ribosomal RNA (500 nucleotides) under uncultured Myrionecta. Its description in RNAcentral is "bacterial SSU rRNA". It matches the Rfam family "Eukaryotic small subunit ribosomal RNA", at positions 1207 to 1772 of the family's 1831-position model. Lineage: Eukaryota; Ciliophora; Litostomatea; Cyclotrichida; Mesodiniidae. The record is from RNAcentral.
GGGAAAACUUACCAGGUCAAGACAUGGGCGUGAUUGACAGGCUAAUGACUUUUCUCGAUUCCAUGGAUGGUGGUGCAUGGUCGCACUUAGUUGGUGCAGUGAUUUGUCAGGUUUAUUCCGGUAACGAACGAGACCUCGGCCUUGUAAAUAGCUAUGCUGCUUACAGGGACAUUGGCGGCUACGCCAAGGAAGCUCGAGGCAAUUGCAGAUCUGGAAUGCCCUUAGAUGUCCUGGGUCGCACGCGUGCUACAAUGACGCCACGAACGAGCUUGCGUGAUGAGAGUUACGCAUAAUCAGCAGUCGGCGUCUUGAGGGAUAGUCUCUUGUAACUGUGGGACUCCAACUAGGAAUGUCUCGUAAGCCGAGUCAACUCUUGUGUUGAUUACGUCCCUGCUCUUUGUCGCACCGCCCGUCGCUCCUACCGAUCGAGUGUUUAGGUGAAUUUGAGGACGUAGGAAGUCAAAAAACCCUGACCUCUUAGGGAAGAGAAAUCUGCACAC